Molecule: unclassified non-coding RNA, 23 nt
Filed under: Chlamydomonas reinhardtii
Lineage: Eukaryota; Viridiplantae; Chlorophyta; Chlorophyceae; Chlamydomonadales; Chlamydomonadaceae
Description: small RNA Cre_3027
Source: RNAcentral
UGCAGGGUUCGCCGACAGGGACC